This 29-nucleotide non-coding RNA is filed under the name Mus musculus (house mouse). The record is from RNAcentral. Lineage: Eukaryota; Metazoa; Chordata; Mammalia; Rodentia; Muridae.
UGGAAAGCAAUCAAGUCUUUAUGUGUACA